UAUCUCUGUAGAGUCUGCAUAUCAAUAAGCGGAGGAAAAGAAACUAACUAGGAUUCCCUCAGUAACGGCGAGUGAAGCGGGAAGAGCUCAAAUUUGAAAUCUUCAAGGCUUUUACCUUGACGAAUUGUAGUUUAAAGAAGUGUUUUCUGUUGGAGUUUUGGUAAAAGUUCUUUGGAAUAGGACAUCAUAGAGGGUGAGAAUCCCGUAUUUGACCAUUAUUUCCAGCUUUGUGAUACACUUUCAAAGAGUCGGAUUGUUUGGGAAUGCAGUCCAAAAUGGGUGGUAAAUUUCAUCUAAAGCUAAAUAUUGGCGAGAGACCGAUAGCGAACAAGUACCGUGAGGGAAAGAUGAAAAGAACUUUGAAAAGAGAGUUAAACAGUACGUGAAAUUGUCAAAAGGGAAGCGUUUGACACCAGUGUUGUUUCUACGAAAAUCAAUUUAUGAUGGCUUGAUGCUAAGCUUUAAGACUUUAUCCGCUUGUUGUUUAGUUUUCUUGUCUUUGUGAAUGCACUUUUCGUGGAACAAGUCAACAUCAAUUUCUUUUGCUGUAAAAGGGUAAGAGGAAGGUGGCUUCGGCUUCGGUUGAAGUGUUUAUAGCCUUUUAUCUCUGCAGUCGGAGAGAUUGAGGUCUGCAGCGUAGACUCUUCGGGGUUAGAUACGUCGGUGCUAAGCUAUAGCUUUUCAUAGACAACUUGUUGACUAUGUUUAGUCAUGUGGCUUACCCGCUGGCGCUAUUUUACCUACGCUUAGGAUGUUGAGUCAUCACACAUCUCU
This 774-nucleotide ribosomal RNA is filed under the name uncultured Neocallimastigales. RNAcentral's name for it is "partial large subunit ribosomal RNA". It matches the Rfam family "Eukaryotic large subunit ribosomal RNA", at positions 24 to 618 of the family's 3401-position model. Lineage: Eukaryota; Fungi; Neocallimastigomycota; Neocallimastigomycetes; Neocallimastigales. The record is from RNAcentral.